Molecule: ribosomal RNA, 497 nt
Filed under: uncultured bacterium
Lineage: Bacteria
Description: partial 16S ribosomal RNA
Rfam family: Bacterial small subunit ribosomal RNA
Source: RNAcentral
GAUGAACGCUGGCGGCGUGCCUAAUACAUGCAAGUCGAGCGAACAGAUGAGGAGCUUGCUCCUCUGACGUUAGCGGCGGACGGGUGAGUAACACGUGGAUAACCUACCUAUAAGACUGGGAUAACUCCGGGAAACCGGAGCUAAUACCGGAUAAUAUAUUGAACCGCAUGGUUCAAUAGUGAAAGACGGUUUUGCUGUCACUUAUAGAUGGAUCCGCGCCGCAUUAGCUAGUUGGUAAGGUAACGGCUUACCAAGGCAACGAUGCGUAGCCGACCUGAGAGGGUGCUCUGCCACCCUGGAACUGACAAACGGUCCAGACUCCUACGGGAGGCAGCAGUAGGGAAUCUUCAGCAAUGGGCGAAAGCCUGCCGCAGGAACGGCGCGUGCGUGAUGAAGGUCUUCGGAUCGUAAAACUCUGUUAUUAGGGAAGAACAAGUGUGUAAGUAACUAUGCACGUCUUGCCGGUACCUAAUCAGAAAGCCACGGCUAACUACGUG